RNAcentral lists this ribosomal RNA (495 nucleotides) under uncultured bacterium. RNAcentral's name for it is "partial 16S ribosomal RNA". It matches the Rfam family "Bacterial small subunit ribosomal RNA", at positions 28 to 507 of the family's 1533-position model. The record is from RNAcentral.
GAUGAACGCUGGCGGCGUGCCUAAUACAUGCAAGUAGAACGCUGAAGGAGGAGCUUGCUCUUCUGGAUGAGUUGCGAACGGGUGAGUAACGCGUAGGUAACCUGCCUGGUAGCGGGGGAUAACUAUUGGAAACGAUAGCUAAUACCGCAUGACAACAGUUAUUGCAUGAUAACUGUUUAAAAGGGGCAACUGCUCCACUACCAGAUGGCCCUGCGUUGUAUUAGCUAGUUGGUGAGGUAACGGCUCACCAAGGCGACGAUACAUAGCCGACCUGAGAGGGUGAUCGGCCACACUGGGACUGAGACACGGCCCAGACUCCUACGGGAGGCAGCAGUAGGGAAUCUUCGGCAAUGGACGGAAGUCUGACCGAGCAACGCCGCGUGAGUGAAGAAGGUUUUCGGAUCGUAAAGCUCUGUUGUAAGAGAAGAACGAGUGUGAGAGUGGAAAGUUCACACUGUGACGGUUUCUUACCAGAAAGGGACGGCUAACUACGUG